CCUAUUGUUCUUCUGGAAGAAACCAAGUGGCACAGUGGAUAGGGUGCUAUAUAUGUUAUCCAUAUACAUAUGCUAUACAGAUAAGAGUCAAGAAGACAUCAGUUCAAAUCUGACCUCAGACACAAGCUGUGAAGAAACAAUAAACCAGUAUCUAAAGAUUCAGAAUAAUCUACACAUCUACAGAGCUAUAAUCAUCAUCAGAAGACACUGGUGACCUUGCAGAGGGUCAGAUCUGUCACAGUUACUCUCUGCUCCUUCAGAGUCCUGAGGCACCAGAGCAUUGG
This 284-nucleotide long non-coding RNA is filed under the name Monodelphis domestica (gray short-tailed opossum). Its description in RNAcentral is "lncRNA (ENSMODG00000050737.1)". Lineage: Eukaryota; Metazoa; Chordata; Mammalia; Didelphimorphia; Didelphidae. The record is from RNAcentral.